Long non-coding RNA from Perognathus longimembris pacificus (Pacific pocket mouse), 1640 nucleotides. RefSeq lists it as uncharacterized. The transcript is spliced from 3 exons. NCBI's taxonomy places the organism in Eukaryota, Metazoa, Chordata, Mammalia, Rodentia, Heteromyidae. The record is from RefSeq and is a predicted model, not a curated record.
UUGCUGGCUUUGAAUAACAAUCCUCAGCCUCCUGAGUGAGGCUGGCAGGCAUGAAAAAGCGAUUGCCACAAUAGGGGACAGAUGUGCAGGCAAUGGAGCAUGCGUGUUUUGUGAGUUAGAAGUUGCUCAGCCUCUGUUGUAACUUUAAAUGGGGGAGGAAAUCAAAGUUUUUCUUAGGUUAUAAUCCUGCUCUGGGGGCAGUUAAUGAUCGGAAUGUCUUAUCAGUGCUUCUUGGCCUCUGACCUUAAAUCCUUACUUAUCUUGGAAAAUAGGAAGUGGAUUUGGUUGCUAUUUUUAUUUCAGGUUGUGUAGAUCGGAUCUGUGAGUCUUGGUCCCCACCGUUUUCAUUUUCCCAGAGGCCCCUCUGCACAGUGUUUGGACUUUCAGGAGCCCAGGAACCACACCAAAACAAUCUGUUCUCACCUUCAAGCUCCAGGCUUUUGGGGUUUGUUUUAUUUUGUUAUCCGCAAAUCUUUGCAUUUUAAAGAAGUUACUGAGUGAUCUGUUCACCUUCUCUUCUGCUUCCCCCAGGGGAAGCUAGAGCUGGGAACAACAUCUUUGCUGGCUUUGGGAAUGUGCUCAGCCUAGCAUAAUUGCUUGUGAGUUGAAGUCAUUCAUUCAUUCUUUCAUCCAUUCUCCAAGUGUUUUGCUGCAUAGGUGCUUUGCACCCUCCAGUUCUUUUUACCUGCAGGGACAUUGGUCAAAAUUGGUGAGACAACAAUUUGGAGGGUGGUAGAGAUGUUUAAGGCCUUUCACGGAUCACUGACUACACUUUCUCUGACACUCUGGGGCAGAAAUCGGCCUUUCCCUUUCUUUGCAGGAUUCCCUUUUGCACAGAUGCUCCCGGAACGCUCAAAAUUAGACGAUUGUAUGAAGUAACACUUUACUCCUUCCUGGAAUCAGAAAGGAUUCCAGGCCAACCUCAGCUUCUUCUUCAUGCAGGAAGUAAUGAAAAUAGUUCUCAGUUUCUCUAGUACAUUUAAAAAAAAAAUCCCACAAUACUCCCUCACAUUAGGACCUAAAAAAAAAAACCACCUCUGGGCUGUCUCUAUUAUUUCCUUUUUUCAGAAGUGCUUUGUGGCCUGGCAAUGAAAAGUAAGAUCCAUAUAGAGUCAGAACUAAGUUUAAAUCCUAGCUCAACCACUUAUUACACCUGGGAUCUUGAGGUAGAUAUUAUUAUUAUUAAUUAUUACUACUAUCAUUAAAAUGUUAAAUAUUAAAUCUUUUUAAAAAUUAUUUUAUCUUUUUGGAAACAUAGUCACACUAUCUAGCCCAAGUUGGCCUUGAGCUGACUACCAAGUGCAGGGAUUAAAGGUAUGCACCAUCAUGCUGGGCUUGAGCAAUUUUGUUUUUUCCCAUAGGUCAUGGGGCUUGAAUUUAGGGCCUUGGUGCUGUCCUUGAGCUCUUUCGCUCAAGGCCAGCAUCCUACACUUGGAGCCACAGCACCACUUCCUGUUUUCUGGUGGUUAAUUAGUGAUAAGAGUCUCACUGACUUUCCUUCCUGGGCUGGCUUUGAACCACAAUCCUCCCAUCUCAGCUUCCUGAGUAGUUAGGGUUCCAAGCAUGAGCUACUGGUGCCCAGCUAUGGGCAGAUGUUACUUAAAUGCUUUUUCUAAGUUCUUUGUAGAUCUUUGGCUGUG